Molecule: long non-coding RNA, 669 nt
Organism: Rhineura floridana
Lineage: Eukaryota; Metazoa; Chordata; Lepidosauria; Squamata; Rhineuridae
Exons: 2
Source: RefSeq, a predicted model, not a curated record
AUUAUAUGGUAUAGAGCUAUAUUUAACUUGGAAUGUUCUUCACAUAACAGAAGUUAUAACAAAACUACUUAUGAAAGUUGGCUAUAGUAAUCAGAUGAAGAAUUUAUAUGUCUGAAAUCUGAAGUGAUGUUCCUAAUAAGACCAGACCUUUGUCUUUCCUGUACCCUCUGCCAUUUCUGAAGAGUGGAAGCACGUGUACCAAAUCUGCGCUGGGAAGAGAAUGCUUCAACAUGUCCAGCCCUACCAAUAGGCAAAGUGAGGCAGCUGCUUCAGGUGGCAGAUGCUGGGAGACAGUGAGCUGUGUGUGCCCUGUGGCCUACUCUGCACCUCUGCUGGCCUUGAGGAUGCCAUCCCUUUGCCAUGUUGCAGUAAAAAUCCACUGGCAGGCUGGUCAGCAUCUCUGUGUGGAAUGAGAGAGGUGUCAUCUUGUCCUUCAUUGCAAGUAGCAAAAUAUCGUAGACCAGCCCCAGCAAUCACGACCUGGUGUAACCCUUUACAAAAUUUUACUCUGCUUUUAUAUAUUUUCCAAUCAAGCCUCUGGAGAGACAGCAAAGGACUAAUGCAAAGGCAAACAACUUCUAACACUUAUACAUCAAGAAAUAUCCUGUCUUGAUCAUAUAUGGAUGUAUGGAUUCUAUGUAAAUACCUUAAUAAAAUAAUCAAACAUUA